UCCCCGUUGCCGAGGCAGUCUCGCUAGAAAAUACAACUAACGACGAGGGUUGCGCUCGUUAAGGGACUUAACCCUACAUCUCACGACACGAGCUGACGACGGCCAUGCAUCACCUGUCACCAGGUUCCCCGAAGGGCACUUCCUCAUUUCUGAGGAAUUCCUGGGAUGUCAAGCCUUGGUAAGGUUCUACGCGUAGCAUCGAAUUAAACCACACGCUCCACCGCUUGUGCGGGUCCCCGUCAAUUCCUUUGAGUUUUAGCCUUGCGGCCGUACUCCCCAGGCGGGAUGCUUAACGCGUUAGCUUCGCAACUUCGGGGGUCGAUACCCAAAACUGCUAGCAUCCAUCGUUUACGGCGUGGACUAC
RNAcentral lists this unclassified non-coding RNA (364 nucleotides) under uncultured bacterium. Its description in RNAcentral is "contains 16S-23S intergenic spacer region". The record is from RNAcentral.